RNAcentral lists this ribosomal RNA (919 nucleotides) under termite gut metagenome. RNAcentral describes it as "bacterial SSU rRNA". It matches the Rfam family "Bacterial small subunit ribosomal RNA", at positions 8 to 926 of the family's 1533-position model. The record is from RNAcentral.
AGAGUUUGAUCCUGGCUCAGGAUGAACGCUAGCGAUAGGCUUAACACAUGCAAGUCGAGGGGCAUCAGGGCUUUCGGGCCGCUGGCGACCGGCGCACGGGUGAGUAACGGGUAUGCAACCUACCUAUCACCGAGGGAUAGCCCAGCGAAAGUUGGAUUAAUACCUCAUGAUACAAUAUUUCCGCAUGGUUUUAUUGUUAAAGAUUUAUUGGUAAUAGAUGGGCAUGCUUAGGAUUAGUUAGUUGGUUGAGGUAACGGCUCACCAAGACAACGAUCCUUCGGGGAACUGAGAGGUUUAUCCCCCACACUGGGACUGAGACACGGCCCAGACUCCUACGGGAGGCAGCAGUGAGGAAUAUUGGUCAAUGGACGAGAGUCUGAACCAGCCAAAUCGCGUGAAGGAUGACAGUAUUCAGUAUUGUAAACUUCUUUUAUUGGGGAAUAAAGUUUCGCACGUGUGCGGUUUUGUAUGUACCCAAUGAAUAAGCAUCGGCUAACUCCGUGCCAGCAGCCGCGGUAAUACGGAGGAUGCGAGCGUUAUCCGGAUUUAUUGGGUUUAAAGGGUGCGUAGGUUGGUUUAUCAGUCAGCGGUGAAAUGCCAUAGCUUAACUAUGGAGCUGCCGUUGAAACUGUAGAUCUUGAGAGUGAACGAGGUAGGCGGAAUUCGUAGUGUAGCGGUGAAAUGCAUAGAUAUUACGAAGAACCCCGAUAGCGCAGGCAGCUUACCAGGCCACAUCUGACACUGAAGCACGAAAGUGUGGGAAUCAAACAGGAUUAGAUACCCUGGUAGUCCACACAGUAAACGAUGAUAACUAACUGUUUGCGAUAUACAGUAAGCGGUACAGCGAAAGCGUUAAGUUAUCCACCUGGGGAGUACGCCGGCAACGGUGAAACUCAAAGGAAUUGACGGGGGCCCGCAC